GGGGAAGCCGGUGCGAGCCCGGCGCUGACCCGCAACCGUGAUCGGGCCGUUGCACCGGCGCGCGAGACCGCGCGUCGACGGCGACAGCCCGGAGCCGGAGUACCU
Molecule: non-coding RNA, 105 nt
Filed under: Streptomyces oceani
Lineage: Bacteria; Bacillati; Actinomycetota; Actinomycetes; Kitasatosporales; Streptomycetaceae
Source: RNAcentral